AGUUUUUAGCCAGAUGGAAGAAGUUUUUAGCAACAGAAACAAGAAAUCUUUUACUAGUGGAACAUGAGAUAUGUAGGAGAAUUUAUUGACAAAGACUGAAAAUCUAGUUCGAUAGAAAGCUCCGAAUUAGUUGAUUCGACGCUGAAGAAAGCGAUGCUGAUUGAGAAAUUAAUUGAUGAAAAACUUGAAGGAACUCCAAUUGAUUCAAGUUCAGAGAGAAUUUUCUUUCAAAAAUCUUCAACUCCUGGUGCAACAAAUGAAGGAGUGAAUAGGUGAAAUUCAGAAUGUUUGAUCAAAGGCUUGAAAGUUGGGGAGAAGCAUUUUCUCUUCUGCGAUUGAAGUGUGUAUUUCUUGCUAAAUGCCUAAAAGUGUAGCAUGGAACUUGAGCUGCGGUGUAGAUGAUUUUCUCUUACAAAUUAAAAAAGGUAAGGAACAUAUCCUCUAGACUAAAUUGAUUCAACAUUAUUUACAUAAUGCUACAGGAGACAUAGUUGGUGAAUUAUGGGAGGUACUACUUUUAACCUUGUUCCUUUUCGAUUUAAGAGGUACACAAAAUGUUUGUGGAUACGUUUUGAUUUUCAUUGCAUUACUGGGAUUAACUAGAUCUAUUGUCCUUGGUAUUUAUGGGAAUGAAAACCACUUACUAUUACAACUUAAGAGUGGUAUGUUUGUGAAGAAGAGAGCAGUGAGAGAACACAUUUUGUGUUAUUAUUGUUGUACAGUCUUCAAUAUCAGGAUUGAAUUGGUACAUCCACAUGCAUUCAAUAUUUCUGUUCAUCACAUGUUGCAGCCGUGGCCUGAUGUUUAUGGUUGUUUUUAUCCACAUGCUCCAAGUCUUGAAUUCAGAUGGUUCCUUGUGGAGUUCCGUGUUUUUCUUCUUGUGGCGAGUCUCAUAAUUCGUAUAAGAUAUUUUAGACCUUUAGGUACAAAUUUAUUUCUGCACAGUCCCUUGCUUGCUCCUGGUUCUACCAAGUUGGAGUUCCUGGCAAAGAUAAUUGGAAUACAGGUCUUGCUCGCGGCAUAUCAUAUUCUGACUGUAUUGUUUUGGGUAGGGUACUUGAGGUGGAAAUUCAGAUUGGUCAUCUCAAUUGAUUUACGGUGUAUGGAAAAUAUUUGUUGGAUUGAGUUGAGUUUUAUCCCAGUUGUGUUGCUUGAUACAACAUGGUACUAUGGAACAAAUCUGUUCGGCGAAACUGAAACCGAUAAAGAAGGUUGUAACUUUAGCACUGCAGUUGGAGUUUCUCGUAUAUGGGUUUCGAAUAUUUCAGCAUUUUGGGGUUUGUGUUUCCCUCCAAGAAAGGAAAGUAGGGUACUCAAGCUUAACCAACUUCUUAAUCGGCAACUACACCGCUUUGCUGCAACGAGGGACAGGAAAGUAGUGCUGCAAGUUUCAUAUUCCAUCUGGAGUCGUUGGCAUUUGUUUUGCCGUGCACAAAAACAUCUUACUUGCAACCAACUCUAUAAACUGCUGAAGAUCAUAGCAACAUACCAGCACAAAUUAGUGAAGUUCUAUAUUGGAUGUAACAUUUUUUUUUGACUUCGUUUAUAUCACCAGGAUCAUUAUGUCUUUGCUGGAAUAUUACAGAUGGGUCAAGCUGGAGAUAAGAGACUUGAGCUACAUUUCAGUAAUGAAGAAAGUAUGCUCAUGGGGGUUUACACGGCCAAUUACUCUACCAUCUCUGACGCUGAUUGUGACUAUAAUGGAACCGUGAUCAAGCUGGAACCCUACAGUUCACUUGAAAAAGAUAAAUGGGUUGUGAUUUUUGUUAGAAAAACGAUUAAUAAAAUUGAUUUUUAAAGAUUUUAAUUAAUUGUUUCUUUUGUGAAUGAAAAACUUGUUAGUCCCACAUCGUGGAGUUUCCACUCUUUAGUUGUUUUAAGAGACUAUAUAAGAUUUUUAGUCCCGCAUCGGGGAGUUGCUCUGCUUAA
Molecule: RNA transcript, 1929 nt
Organism: Papaver somniferum (opium poppy)
Lineage: Eukaryota; Viridiplantae; Streptophyta; Magnoliopsida; Ranunculales; Papaveraceae
Exons: 3
Source: RefSeq, a predicted model, not a curated record